UCCGCAGGCGGGCAAGCAAGUCGGUGGUGAAAGCUCUUCGCUUAACGGAGAGAUUGCCAUCGAUACUGUUUGUCUUGAGUUCGAGAGAGGAUGAUGGAAUUCAUGGUGUAGCGGUGAAAUGCGUAGAGAUCAUGAAGAACACCGGUAGCGAAGGCGGUCAUCUGGCUCGAUACUGACGCUCAGGGACGAAAGCGUGGGUAGCAAACA
RNAcentral lists this ribosomal RNA (207 nucleotides) under uncultured bacterium. RNAcentral describes it as "partial 16S ribosomal RNA". It matches the Rfam family "Bacterial small subunit ribosomal RNA", at positions 568 to 774 of the family's 1533-position model. The record is from RNAcentral.